Molecule: ribosomal RNA, 1394 nt
Filed under: Frondihabitans sp.
Lineage: Bacteria; Bacillati; Actinomycetota; Actinomycetes; Micrococcales; Microbacteriaceae
Description: bacterial SSU rRNA
Rfam family: Bacterial small subunit ribosomal RNA
Source: RNAcentral
GACGAACGCUGGCGGCGUGCUUAACACAUGCAAGUCGAACGAUGAACAGGAGCUUGCUCCUGGGAUUAGUGGCGAACGGGUGAGUAACACGUGAGUAACCUGCCCUUGACUCUGGGAUAAGCGUUGGAAACGACGUCUAAUACCGGAUAUGAGCUGCGGCCGCAUGGUCUGCAGUUGGAAAGAAUUUUGGUCAAGGAUGGACUCGCGGCCUAUCAGGUAGUUGGUGAGGUAAUGGCUCACCAAGCCUACGACGGGUAGCCGGCCUGAGAGGGUGACCGGCCACACUGGGACUGAGACACGGCCCAGACUCCUACGGGAGGCAGCAGUGGGGAAUAUUGCACAAUGGGCGAAAGCCUGAUGCAGCAACGCCGCGUGAGGGACGACGGCCUUCGGGUUGUAAACCUCUUUUAGUUGGGAAGAAGGGAGCUUGCUCUUGACGGUACCAGCAGAAAAAGCACCGGCUAACUACGUGCCAGCAGCCGCGGUAAUACGUAGGGUGCAAGCGUUGUCCGGAAUUAUUGGGCGUAAAGAGCUCGUAGGCGGUUUGUCGCGUCUGCUGUGAAAUCUGGGGGCUCAACCCCCAGCCUGCAGUGGGUACGGGCAGACUAGAGUGCGGUAGGGGAGAUUGGAAUUCCUGGUGUAGCGGUGGAAUGCGCAGAUAUCAGGAGGAACACCGAUGGCGAAGGCAGAUCUCUGGGCCGUUACUGACGCUGAGGAGCGAAAGCAUGGGGAGCGAACAGGAUUAGAUACCCUGGUAGUCCAUGCCGUAAACGUUGGGAACUAGAUGUAGGGGCCAUUCCACGGUUUCUGUGUCGCAGCUAACGCAUUAAGUUCCCCGCCUGGGGAGUACGGCCGCAAGGCUAAAACUCAAAGGAAUUGACGGGGGCCCGCACAAGCGGCGGAGCAUGCGGAUUAAUUCGAUGCAACGCGAAGAACCUUACCAAGGCUUGACAUAUACCGGAAACGUCCAGAGAUGGUCGCCCCGCAAGGUCGGUAUACAGGUGGUGCAUGGUUGUCGUCAGCUCGUGUCGUGAGAUGUUGGGUUAAGUCCCGCAACGAGCGCAACCCUCGUUCUAUGUUGCCAGCACGUUAUGGUGGGAACUCAUAGGAGACUGCCGGGGUCAACUCGGAGGAAGGUGGGGAUGACGUCAAAUCAUCAUGCCCCUUAUGUCUUGGGCUUCACGCAUGCUACAAUGGCCGAUACAAAGGGCUGCAAUACCGCGAGGUGGAGCGAAUCCCAAAAAGUCGGUCUCAGUUCGGAUUGAGGUCUGCAACUCGACCUCAUGAAGUCGGAGUCGCUAGUAAUCGCAGAUCAGCAACGCUGCGGUGAAUACGUUCCCGGGCCUUGUACACACCGCCCGUCAAGUCAUGAAAGUCGGUAACACCCGAAGCCG